Molecule: small RNA, 772 nt
Filed under: Russula sp. SB127
Lineage: Eukaryota; Fungi; Basidiomycota; Agaricomycetes; Russulales; Russulaceae
Description: eukaryotic LSU rRNA
Rfam family: 5.8S ribosomal RNA (bases 366-519)
Source: RNAcentral
CUAAGUAAAAGUCGAAACAAGGUUUAGGUAGGUGAACGUGAGGAAGGAUCAUUAUCGAAUUUCAUCUACUUGGUUGCUGCUGGUUCCACUAUGGUUCAUGUGCAUCUUGGUCAUUUAGAGUUUUUAAAAGUCGUAGCACGGAUACAACAUGAAUAUUGCUAAAGAUGAUCAUCUUCUUCUCCUCGAGGGGCUAGGGUUAGCGUAGUCUAUCGCAGGUCGUUCAUGGUAUAGCCCUCUCACACAAUCCAUCUCACCCUUUGUGCAUCACCGCGUGGGUCCCCCUUUGCCGGAGGGCCCGCGUCUUUACACAAAACUCGAUACAGUGUAGAAUGUUUAUUUUCGCCGUCGCACGCGAUCAAUAAUACAACUUUCAACAACGGAUCUCUUGGCUCUCGCAUCGAUGAAGAACGCAGCGAAAUGCGAUACGUAAUGUGAAUUGCAGAAUUCAGUGAAUCAUCGAAUCUUUGAACGCACCUUGCGCCCCUUGGCAUUCCGAGGGGCACACCCGUUUGAGUGUCGUGAAAUCUUCAAAAACCCUCUCUUUUGAGGAUUUUUGGACUUGGAGGUUCAAUGCUCGCUUUCUUCUUUUAGGAAGCGAGCUCCUUUCAAAUGAAUCAGUGGGGUCUGCUUUGCCGGUCCUUGACGUGAUAAGAUGUUUCUACGUUUUGGAUUUGACAUCGUCCCGCUCCCCAUCGUCCCACGGACAAAAGGAUGGUGCUCCGGUCGCGGGUCAUCGCUUGGGGCUGGACCCACGAAAUAAAAACAUGACCUC